AGAGUUUGAUCCUGGCUCAGAUUGAACGCUGGCGGCAGGCUUAACACAUGCAAGUCGAGCGGGGGAGGUUGCUUCGGUAACUGACCUAGCGGCGGACGGGUGAGUAAUACUUAGGAAUCUGCCUAUUAAUGGGGGACAACAUCUCGAAAGGGAUGCUAAUACCGCAUACGCCCUACGGGGGAAAGCAGGGGAUCACUUGUGACCUUGCGUUAAUAGAUGAGCCUAAGUCGGAUUAGCUAGUUGGUGGGGUAAAGGCCUACCAAGGCGACGAUCUGUAGCGGGUCUGAGAGGAUGAUCCGCCACACUGGGACUGAGACACGGCCCAGACUCCUACGGGAGGCAGCAGUGGGGAAUAUUGGACAAUGGGGGGAACCCUGAUCCAGCCAUGCCGCGUGUGUGAAGAAGGCCUUAUGGUUGUAAAGCACUUUAAGCGAGGAGGAGGCUCCUGUAGUUAAUACCUACAGUGAGUGGACGUUACUCGCAGAAUAAGCACCGGCUAACUCUGUGCCAGCAGCCGCGGUAAU
RNAcentral lists this ribosomal RNA (524 nucleotides) under uncultured bacterium. Its description in RNAcentral is "bacterial SSU rRNA". It matches the Rfam family "Bacterial small subunit ribosomal RNA", at positions 8 to 524 of the family's 1533-position model. The record is from RNAcentral.